RNAcentral lists this long non-coding RNA (1895 nucleotides) under Prunus persica (peach). RNAcentral's name for it is "long non-coding RNA (PPER_LNC008080)". Lineage: Eukaryota; Viridiplantae; Streptophyta; Magnoliopsida; Rosales; Rosaceae. The record is from RNAcentral.
UAGAAAACCAGUCGGGCAGCCACCUUCCAAGCGACCCCAACGCCACCUCACGCCACCCCGACCCUCCGGACCGGACCCAGCAGCACCGGCCAGCUCCCGCCAUCAACCCCAGCCCGUCCGCCGCCCCUGCUGCUGUCUGGAGCCGCCGGAAACUGCUGGAAAACGCAGCAGUUUUGGCAGAUUUUCCAACCUCAGUUUCUCCCUCAUCCGGCCACCAAAUCAGUCGUGUGAGGUAUCGAUUUCUAGCUAUUUUUCGUGUUCUAACUGCUGGUUGGCUGGGUUUUGAUCAAUUUUUGCUGUAGAUCACUCGAUUUUCAAAUUGAAAUUCGGCCGACUUUCGGCCAUUUCCGGCCACUUUUUGGGGUAGGUCCAAACAAAAGUGACGCCAAAUGGGGUGUUUUACCUAGGAUAGGAGUUUGGAGUCUUGGUUCCGAGAUUUUUCGGCCACUCGGUAUCGCUUUAGACACCCGAAUCUGCCCGCGCGUGCUGGGGCGCGUGGGUGAGGGUGGUGGAGUAACUCUGGGCAGUUUUGAGAUCCUCGUGUCAUCACGAGCGCGUAGGAUUUCGCGGAUCUCGAUUCGGAGUCCGUUUGAGCCUUGAACGGAUUUUCCAUAUUGUGCGAUUACCGGGUUCAAUGCUGUUGAGCCGUUGGAUCGUAAUCAAUUUUAGAUAUGUUACUCUAGAUAAUUUUAGAAACGUGUAGGAUUCGACGGAUUGUGAAUCGAAGACCCGGAUACUCUGAAAACGCGAACCCUAGGGCUAGGGUUUAGAAAUUACAGGAUUGUGAUCAAUCCGACCGUCCGAUUGACACCAAUACCCUCGGGACAUGUGUCCUAAAUAUAUUGGACCUUCUAGCGGCAUCCGGAUCAUAUUAUACCCGUGGGGUUCCGGAUUGACUUUUUGAACUUUAGCGCUUUUUGAGUCCCCAGAUACCACUAAACGAUCCCACGUGGAAGAAAAGCUGUUAUGGGCAUAGGGAUCACUUUAAAUUGACGCACGUACUUUUAGGAGUCGGGGGUAGGGUUUUUAAUUUAAUACUAUAUUGUAUUAAUAGAAUAUUAUGGUCAUUGAAUCAGGCACCCGGGCACCAGUUGACCCGCAGAGGGACCUUCAAGAGGUCCAGCGAGCUCAGACUAUCAGUGAGUGGACUCUUUGUUUUUAUAAAUGAAUUUAAUCAGUUCAGUUUCAGUUAAGCAGUUCAGUUUCAGUUAUAAGCUGUUUUAUGCUGUUAAAUAUUUUAUAUUACAUGCUGCCGAGUGAAGUUUCCUUUUAAGAAUAUAGGAAAAGAUAUUCUCGUUAAUUAUCAGAUAAAUGGCAGCAGAAAUUUAAAGGUUACAGAAAGUUAAUUAUUCAACAAAUUUUCUUCAGAAACUUUAUAUUUUCUUAAAUCACCUUGUACCCAGUUAUUAAAUGUUGCCUUCGGUUUAUAUCUGUUACCUUCGGUUUAGUCAGCAUGCUUGACAGUUGCCCCACGAGUUCCUUGGUACUCGAACUCGUGUGGAGCGAGUAAUGCGGAUAAAGGCGGACUACGGUUCCCUGAAUCCUGCGAGUUGCGGCUCAGACUGACCUCGUGUCACUGAGACCUGCGAGUAUGUGUCACCCAUGGUGAUGCAAGGAAUUGACGGAUAUAAGGAUUUGACAGAAAUAAGGGUACACCUAGGUGAUAGUUUUCAACUGUUUUCAAAUGUAUAGUUAUAUACAUUCAUUGAUUUCAGAAAUAAAGAAAAUAAGCUAGUUUGUAUAACUGUUUUUACCGUGGGGUUAGUAUGUUCAUAUAGUAUUUUCUAAACUUUGUUUUUGGGUCCACUCACCCUUCUUGUUGUUUUGUGCCCCCAGGAAGUAGACGUGCACAGGAAUCCACCACCGGGCCACUUCCCAUCUUCCGCGCCUUUCUU